CUGCUAUGUUGUCUGUACUCAUAACCGCAUCAGGUCUCCAAGGUUAGCAGCCUUUGGUCGUAUAGAAAUACGGUGGGUAAGGGAAGUCGGCAAAUUCGGUCCGUACUUACGAUAUAAGGACUGGCUCCGAAGGUGAAAUCUAUACGCUUUGCUU
This 154-nucleotide ribosomal RNA is filed under the name Foraminifera environmental sample. Its description in RNAcentral is "partial Eukaryotic large subunit ribosomal RNA". It matches the Rfam family "Eukaryotic large subunit ribosomal RNA", at positions 1830 to 1981 of the family's 3401-position model. Lineage: Eukaryota; Foraminifera. The record is from RNAcentral.